Molecule: ribosomal RNA, 426 nt
Filed under: uncultured bacterium
Lineage: Bacteria
Description: bacterial SSU rRNA
Rfam family: Bacterial small subunit ribosomal RNA
Source: RNAcentral
GUGAGGAAUUUUCCGCAAUGGGCGAAAGCCUGACGGAGCAAUGCCGCGUGAAGGAUGAAGGCCUAUGGGUUGUAAACUUCUUUUCUCAGAAAAGAAUUAUGACGGUAUCUGAGGAAUAAGCAUCGGCUAACUCUGUGCCAGCAGCCGCGGUAAGACAGAGGAUGCAAGCGUUAUCUGGAAUGAUUGGGCGUAAAGCGUCUGUAGGUUGUUUAAAAAGUAUUCUGUCAAAGAUUAGGGCUUAACCCUAGAUAGGCAGAAUAAACUUUUAAGCUAGAGUUUGGUAGAGGCAGAGGGAAUUCCCGGUGGAGCGGUGAAAUGCGUAGAUAUCGGGAGGAACACCAAAGGCGAAGGCACUCUGCUGGGCCAAUACUAACACUGAGAGACGAAAGCGAGGGGAGCAAAUGGGAUUAGAAACCCCUGUAGUCC